RNAcentral lists this ribosomal RNA (519 nucleotides) under Listeria monocytogenes. RNAcentral's name for it is "bacterial SSU rRNA". It matches the Rfam family "Bacterial small subunit ribosomal RNA", at positions 1013 to 1533 of the family's 1533-position model. Lineage: Bacteria; Bacillati; Bacillota; Bacilli; Caryophanales; Listeriaceae. The record is from RNAcentral.
UUUCCCUUCGGGGACAAAGUGACAGGUGGUGCAUGGUUGUCGUCAGCUCGUGUCGUGAGAUGUUGGGUUAAGUCCCGCAACGAGCGCAACCCUUGAUUUUAGUUGCCAGCAUUUAGUUGGGCACUCUAAAGUGACUGCCGGUGCAAGCCGGAGGAAGGUGGGGAUGACGUCAAAUCAUCAUGCCCCUUAUGACCUGGGCUACACACGUGCUACAAUGGAUAGUACAAAGGGUCGCGAAGCCGCGAGGUGGAGCUAAUCCCAUAAAACUAUUCUCAGUUCGGAUUGUAGGCUGCAACUCGCCUACAUGAAGCCGGAAUCGCUAGUAAUCGUGGAUCAGCAUGCCACGGUGAAUACGUUCCCGGGCCUUGUACACACCGCCCGUCACACCACGAGAGUUUGUAACACCCGAAGUCGGUAGGGUAACCUUUAUGGAGCCAGCCGCCGAAGGUGGGACAGAUAAUUGGGGUGAAGUCGUAACAAGGUAGCCGUAUCGGAAGGUGCGGCUGGAUCACCUCCUUU